GUCCUCAUAGUUCAACGGAUAGAAUAAGCCCCUCCUAAGGGCUAGAUGUAGGUUCGAUUCCUGCUGGGGAUACCA
Molecule: transfer RNA, 75 nt
Filed under: bacterium
Lineage: Bacteria
Also listed under: 1 other name
Description: tRNA-Arg
Rfam family: tRNA
About the family: Transfer RNA (tRNA) molecules are approximately 80 nucleotides in length. Their secondary structure includes four short double-helical elements and three loops (D, anti-codon, and T loops).
Source: RNAcentral